Molecule: long non-coding RNA, 322 nt
Filed under: Phasianus colchicus (ring-necked pheasant)
Lineage: Eukaryota; Metazoa; Chordata; Aves; Galliformes; Phasianidae
Description: lncRNA (ENSPCLG00000016205.1)
Source: RNAcentral
UUUUUUUGUAUCUUUGAAGUGUGAAGGAGAUGAGAUACACCUGGGGACAAGUUCCCUCAUAGCAAUCUUCUAUGGAGGUGUCCAGAGCAUGUCAGCCUUGGGGCCAAACUUCUGCUGCUGUUGGAAAAAUCUGAAAAUGAGCUUGGAGUUUUUUUCCUCGGAGAAAACCACCAGUCCUAUUCAUUUGGCAUUUAUGGUCUUGUUAUCCAUGCACAAAGUGAGAAUUGCAUCUUGUGUGUCUGGGCUGUGGUACCAGAAAAAUACAGAGGGGAAGCCAGAGGAUUUUGACAUCUGCAAUGGGAAGUUUUGUCUUGCCUUUUGA